UCCUAAGUUAGCACCCGGCUCUUUCAGGUUUGACAGCAGUUGUAGCCACCGCAGGUCUUUCCUCGGGGAGGGCGAAGUGAGCGUCUGUUGUUGGCGGCAUCCUAACCAAAAGAACUAGCCCUUUCCUUGCUUCCUGCUUUUAGAGAGGACGAAGAAAGUCGCUCUUGUAGCUAAGAGUUGAUUCGUUGUUGCGGUGUAGCUUUUGAGUGAAAAGUAGCUCUUAGAGACGAGAGGGAUAAUAAAGUAGCUUAAGCCGCUUCUUCCGCUCUUCCUUCUUAAGCCG
This 283-nucleotide unclassified non-coding RNA is filed under the name Hevea brasiliensis (rubber tree). The record is from RNAcentral. Lineage: Eukaryota; Viridiplantae; Streptophyta; Magnoliopsida; Malpighiales; Euphorbiaceae.